CCCUUAGAUGUUCUGGGCAGCACGCGCGCUACAAUGGUCUUCGCAAACGGAUGCAUUCUCGAAGGAGAAUGCCAAUCUUGGAAUCUAUGCCUUGGUCGGGACAGUUGCUUGCAAUUUUUCGACUCGAACCAGGAAUUCCUUGUAAUCGUGGUUCAUCACAUCACGAUGAAUACGUCCCUGCCCUUUGUACACACCGCCCGUCGCUCCUACCGAUCGAAGAGUUAGGUGAAUUGUUUUGAUCGAUAAGAUUUGACUAUGGUCAACUCUCGUUGUGAAAUUCUGUGAAUCUGACUGUUUAGAGGAAGGAAAAGUCGUAACA
This 319-nucleotide ribosomal RNA is filed under the name uncultured eukaryote. RNAcentral describes it as "partial 18S ribosomal RNA". It matches the Rfam family "Eukaryotic small subunit ribosomal RNA", at positions 1470 to 1796 of the family's 1831-position model. The record is from RNAcentral.